RNAcentral lists this unclassified non-coding RNA (424 nucleotides) under Hevea brasiliensis (rubber tree). Lineage: Eukaryota; Viridiplantae; Streptophyta; Magnoliopsida; Malpighiales; Euphorbiaceae. The record is from RNAcentral.
UGAUUCGAGAGUUAGAGGGAGUAUGGAAGUAGGAAGAGCAUUCCAAUUUUCUCAGCCUGAGAGAAUCCUUGCGGAGAUAGUUUCACAGUCUGUUCCUCUUAUGGCUCAGAUUGUGCAGGAGCUUCCUGAUGAAACGGUUGAAUCAACAAAGGAUUACUUGAGAAGUCUAAUUGCAAAUCCUGAGAAGAAAGACCUUUUGGUCAGCCUUCAGAAUAUGCUUCAUGGGAGAUCUGACCUUAAUGUUGCGACUCUCUUAGAGUGUAAUACGACUCAACUACAAAUUUUUGUUGCCAUAAAAAUGGGUCAUAGAAGUUUCUUAUCUUUGGAAAACCACAUUCAAGUUGCUGAAUUGAUUGAGAUUUUUUCUCUUGAAAGGUGUCGGAACAUACGCUGCAAAAGUGUGUUACCUGCUGAUGAUUGUAAA